CCUACGGGAGGCAGCAGUGGGGAAUAUUGCGCAAUGGGCGAAAGCCUGACGCAGCGACGCCGCGUGAGGGAUGAAGGUCUUCGGAUCGUAAACCUCUGUCAGCAGGGAAGAACGGUCACUGUGCUAAUCAGCAGUGCAUUGACGGUACCUACAAAGGAAGCACCGGCUAACGCCGUGCGAGCAGCCGCGGGAAUACGGAGGGUGCGAGCGUUAAUCGGAAUUACUGGGCGUAAAGGGCUCGUAGGCGGUAUGUCAAGUCAAGGGUGAAAUCCCCGCGCUCACCGUGGGAACUGCCUUUGAAACUGGCAGACUGGAGUGUGGGAGAGGAUAGUGGAAUUCCAGGUGUAGGAGUGAAAUGCGUAGAUAUCUGGAGGAACAUCAGUGGCGAAGGCGACUAUCUGGCACAUAACUGACGCUGAGGAGCGAAAGCGUGGGUAGCAAACAGGAUUAGAUACCCGGGUAGUC
RNAcentral lists this ribosomal RNA (465 nucleotides) under uncultured bacterium. RNAcentral describes it as "partial 16S ribosomal RNA". It matches the Rfam family "Bacterial small subunit ribosomal RNA", at positions 338 to 795 of the family's 1533-position model. The record is from RNAcentral.